GCGCCCCGCCCGGGGCUCUCGGGGCUCUCGGCGCUCUCGGCGCCCCCGGCGCGGCCCGCGGGCUCCGGGGCUCGGCCCCCCGGCCCUGCCCCUGCUCCCGGCGGCGGGCGCGGCGAGCUGCGGGCUUGGAAUAUGGUCGGGGAAAUGGAAACCAAGGAGAAGCCGAAGCCCACCCCCGAUUACCUGAUGCAGCUGAUGAACGACAAGAAGCUCAUGAGCAGCCUGCCCAACUUCUGCGGGAUCUUCAACCACCUCGAGAGGCUGCUGGACGAAGAAAUUAGCAGAGUACGGAAAGACAUGUACAAUGACACAUUAAAUGGCAGUACAGAGAAAAGAAGUGCAGAAUUGCCUGAUGCUGUGGGACCUAUUGUUCAGUUACAAGAGAAACUUUAUGUGCCUGUAAAAGAAUACCCAGAUUUUAAUUUUGUUGGGAGAAUCCUUGGACCUAGAGGACUUACAGCUAAACAGCUUGAAGCAGAAACAGGAUGUAAGAUAAUGGUCCGAGGCAAAGGCUCAAUGAGGGAUAAAAAGAAGGAGGAACAAAAUAGAGGCAAGCCCAAUUGGGAGCAUCUAAAUGAAGAUUUACAUGUACUAAUCACUGUGGAAGAUGCUCAGAACAGAGCAGAAAUCAAACUGAAGAGGGCUGUUGAAGAAGUGAAGAAGUUACUGGUACCUGCAGCAGAAGGAGAAGACAGCCUUAAGAAGAUGCAGCUGAUGGAACUGGCGAUUCUGAAUGGCACCUACAGAGACGCCAACAUUAAAUCACCAGCCCUUGCCUUUUCUCUUGCAGCAACAGCCCAGGCUGCCCCAAGGAUUAUUACUGGGCCUGCGCCUGUUCUCCCACCAGCUGCCCUGCGUACACCUACGCCAGCUGGCCCUACCAUAAUGCCUUUGAUCAGACAAAUACAGACCGCUGUCAUGCCAAAUGGAACUCCUCACCCAACUGCUGCAAUAGUUCCUCCAGGACCUGAGGCUGGUUUAAUUUACACACCCUAUGAAUACCCCUACACAUUGGCACCAGCUACAUCAAUCCUUGAGUAUCCUAUUGAACCUAGUGGUGUAUUAGAGUGGAUUGAGAUGCCAGUCAUGCCUGAUAUCUCAGCCCAUUGACUUGCCGGAGGAAGGCCUAGAGUACGGCAGCUGUUAUAGCACGACCAGUCAAUGUGGGACAGACCGUUUCAGUGCGACCUUUUUGUUUUAUCAGACAGAAUUUGAUUUUUUUUUUUUUUUUUUUUCCUGAAUUGUCUAUGACCUUGGUGCUGCAUGCAUGCUGUUGACUUUUAGGACUUUGAUCUUUAAAGUUUUUUUUUUCCCCAGCAUUAAUAUUGAUUUACAGAAUUUCGAAAGUCUUUAAUGAACCUGAACACUAAGAUUUAAACUCAAAAAUUCAUUGUUCAAUUAAAUGAAGCCACAGUGCUCUGUAUGUUAUCUGUGUGUGCAUGCACUCAGGUGCCUUUUGUUUUAUGAACAAAUACAUUUUAUUGUACAUGUUUUCUGUUUACCACUAAAUCAUUGUGUAAAGUAAUUAUAGGUCAGAAUUAUACCACAGAACGGUUUAUCAGAGGCUUGUUUCUGUUGCACAUUUCUUGAAGCAUUUUUUUAAAAUAACAUGUAACAUAUAACCUUUUUCAGUUUUCCUUUCUAUUAAUACUCUGUCCUGUGAUCUCAUGCAUGCUCCUUUCCCCCCAGAACUCCUCCUCUCUGCUGCACCCACAGCAUCUGUUCCUGAGGAGUUUUAGGGCUGUUGGUGUUCCCGCAGGGGUGUGUCUUAGCCACCAGCUGGCAGUCCAGCAAUGUUGAUGCAGGAUCUCCCUGAUUUUGCCAUGUGGAAUUACUCUUGUAUAUGAUCAGUUUAUCUAAAAUGAAAAGGGGGUGAUGGACCAGUUUACUGCUUAGAAACAGCAAGAGGCACUGCAGUAGACUUUGUUUCUCCUUUUAAAGCCAUGUAUUUUUUGUUUCGUUGGGGAAUUUUUAUUUAUAAAAAUUUAAUUAUUAGACGGGCAAAAUUAAAAUAUUCAGAUACCUAAUUGGCAAUCAUAAGGUGAAUAAUAUUGAGUACUAAGUGGAGUAAAAAAAAAACGAAAACCAACUAUUCUUGAUUUUAAUUCCUGCUUUGCCACCUAAGCAGUAAAACAUGAUAUUGAUCUCUUGGAAAACUGAGAAAAUUAUUUUAAAUUGCUAAGUUGUAAUAAAUUUGCACACAGAUAACAUGCAUGCUAUAUAUCAGAUUUCACCAUUAAAUUAUUUAAAAAUAAGCAGUGCCCUUCAAAACAGAUGCAGACAUGUGUGUUGGUGGUAGUGAGGAGAUUGGUAUUAGCAUCAAAUCUUCAUUGGUGACUAAUUUUUAAUUCCCUUCCUUUUAUCUUUAGGUAUGGCUUUCCCAACGAAAGGCUAAGAAUUCAAGAACGGUCUUAACUGAACCCUCAUCAGAUCUGAAUUUAACAAAUGCUUAGUCUCAGCAGCCUCCGGGGGAAAAAAAGCUUAGCCUAGCAGUCAGUGACUUACUUGCACUUUUUGCACAUAGAUAUAAAGUACAAUUAUGUUAUUAAUUUGGUUUAGUCUGUAAUAUUACAAAGUAACUGUAAUUUAUAAAGGAGUGUAUAGUAGUAUACUGACUGCUAAGUGUUCUCUACUGUUUGCUUUACUAAUCACCUAAUUCAUUGCAGUUCAUACUUAUUGACUCAAAGUUUAAAACCACAAUCUGUAGGCUUUAAGAAUUGCUUUUAAACCUUUUUAAGUGAUAAACUUUAGAAGUGGUCUUAAGGUUAGCAAAUAAUUGUCAGCAUUAAACAUGGCAUUAUUUAAGGAGUCCUGCUGCAGGAAAGACACUUCAGUGAAUAUGUGACUAGUAAAGCGUAAAUGUGUUUGGAUCUAAUCGAGUUCAUGAAGUACUGUGACUUGGGAAUUAUAAACGAAUGGAUGAAAUAGGUUAAGGCCAAGCUGUUUGAAAUGAAUGCAAUAUUAAUAGCUGCAUAUAUACAUGACAUAUUAUGGUUAAUUUUAAAACUACUGUGCCUUAACGUAUUUGUUCAAAGAAACUUUUGCAGUAAAUGAACAUUUUAAAUCCAUUUUGAUAGACCUGCUGUUAAUGUUGUUGUUUUGUUUUUUCCCCCCUUGUCAAUGUUUUCUAACUUUGUCUUGGUAAUUGCAAUUUAACUAGGUGCGGUGGCUACUAAAGUUCGAAGGCACGAUAUGCGUGUCCAUCCUUACCAAAGGAUUGUGACCGCAGACCGAGCCGCCACCGGCAACUAACCUAUGACCUUCUGACCUCUGAACUCUUCACCCAAUGAUGACCUGACCAUGCCUGCCUGCUGAUCAGUUAACUGGUAAUCGCCUUUGCUUGCCUGUCGUCAGUGCAGCGAGCUGAGGCACUUGUCCGUUCGUCUUACCAUCUAACCAAACAAAAGACAAAGAAAUUGUUGUCCUCCAACUCAGCUUUUUUUCCUGUUUGGGUGAAAGUGGUUCUAGAACCUGCACUGAAUAGUAGUAAAGCAAUAAGGCCCAAUCCAUCCCACAGCACUGAUCAUCUUUUAAUUUCCCACCCUAAGCGAACGGUAAGAAGGGGAGGCAGAUGGCCCUUAACUACUCAGUGACAGAGGCAGUUACUGUGAGAGACUUCUAGGAAUCUUUCUUCUCGUAGCGAAGUCACAGCUCUCUCUGAAUGUACUGUGUGAUGAUGCAUCAUGCAUGAACCUUUGGUCAGGGAUGUCAUUGGUGAAGUGAUUUCAACAAGUAUUCAAAAUUUGAUAUGCUGUUUAGUCACUACAGUGCCCUCAAAGGGCAGAAGUUGCAGCCUUUUUUAUAUUGCCUGCCAAAAUUUAAAGUAUUAGGAGAAAGUGUGCCAUGAGAGAAAAAAUUAACAAGGAAUUUUGAAAAGUAAUUCAAAGAACAAAACUGCAACACUAUUUUUUAAGAAAAUAAAUACUGAGUUAAAAUUACUGAACUUUUAUUUUACACCUCCUUAAAAAAUAUAUGAGAACAAGGUACAUGCAUUAUGUGUCACAUUACUGGGCAAACUGUUCAAAUUUUUUUAAACCUCCCUGUAUAGAAAAAAAAAAUCAUUAAGGAUGUAAAAGCCAUGCUUGCCUAUUUGCUGUAUACAUGUAAUGAAAUUGUAGAUAAAGUGUAGUGCAUUGAAACAAAUGAACAAAAAGUAGAUACUUUUACUAUACAAGGGUGCUGGUGCAGAAAAAAAAUAUAUAUUUUUGGAAAUGUAGCAUUUUAUACUUUCAAGUGUUAUAAAAAAAAAGAAAAAAGAACAAAGAAACCCUUUAUUUCAUUAAAUGAUUUUUUCUGGUGGUUGUCAAGAAACAAAAGACCAAAAGAGCCUUUUUGUCUUUCUUUUUUAUUUUUUAAGUAUUGGAAUAAGUCUAAAGAAAAGAAAGUGCCUUAUUUUCCUUCAUGGUCAUUUAGUCAAGUGUCUCUAAGAUCAGCUCCUCCCUCAGAAUACAAGUUAAUGCACGUUACUCAGUCGCCCAGUAUGUGAAAAGAAGAUAGGAGGGGAGACAAAUGAGUUUGAUGGUUGGAAUCAUACAAUUUUUGCCACGUUACCUUGAUGCAAAUUUGCCAAAUCUGAUACUGUGAAAAAAUUUGAUAACUUUUCUAAUGCCUGACUAGGAAGUUUUUAAAACAUCCUUCUUUUAAAAUCAUAAUUGAGUAUUUUUGGUUAUUGCAGUCUUCAACGUAAGCAAGCCCAAAGGAUUCUGAGCUAAGAAUUAUGUGCGAUUCUAAACAUCAGUUUAUAGGCAAUAUUAGAGCUUUAUUUUAUUUGGAGAAGGAGGUUGUGUUGAAUUUUUCUUACUAAUUAGAGAUAAUAGACUAUAGCAAACUUUUUCACAAAAAAAUUAAUCUUUAUGAUUUUCAUUUUGAAAAACAAUGUUUUUAAAACACCCAAAAAUUUAAUCAGAUUUCUUUCUACCAUACCAGAUAACUUGUAUAGUCCAUCUCUUUGCUGGUUUUAGUAAAAAAUAAAAUAAAUAAAUAAAUAAAUAAAAACCCUAUACAUACAUACACACACACCACCUUUUUCUUUUUUAAUUUUAAAAGAAUGUGAAAACUAACAUCACUUUGCAUAUAAAGUCUCAGCUACAUUUCAGUUUAAGCUUCCAGUUUCUCAUGAAGUUCAGACAGUUUUGUAGUUGAAGCAAUUUGUGCACGAAGCCUACAUCUAAACUCUUGAGUAAAUAAUCAUUAACUGCUCGGUACCAGACAUGGCAAAUAUCAAGUGACAGUGGAUUAUCAACUUAUCAGCUCAUUCCCUCUUAACAUCCCUUCCUGGUGUCACAGUCACAGGUCAGCAGUAAGCUCAGUAAGCACCUACGUGGUGACCCCAUUCAUCAUCUUGUCUCACUCGGAAACAGUUUUCAGUUUAUUUACUAUGCAAUAGACAUUCAUUGUUUUGUAUUCUGCUAGCUUUGGUGUAAUGUGCCACUGCUUUGUCUUUCUGUUACACAUACAGUUGUUUUGAUUUAUUUACAAUAUAUGCCGUGCCAUUUUGAUUUUUAUUUUGGUUGGUUGGUUGAAUAAAUUUGCGACACUCAAACAUUGAGGUGAUAGUUGUUAAAAACAAUACCAGUAUUUGAUCCAGUUUCAUCUCAACUAUGUUAUACCUGGACAUUUUAGAUGUUUAUCAAAGGUCUUUUAUUGGGAAGAAAGUAAAUAUAUGAAAUAAAUGUGUGACAUUUAUGGGUAAUGUUGGCUCUGAACAAACUUUUGAAAACUUAGUUGACAAAAUUUUGGAUCAACUGAAAAAAAAAAAAAGCAUGACUUUUGAAAUCUCUGAAUGCCUUGGUUCUCAGUAUUAUUCUUUAUUGAAUUUAUUUCUUAUUAAAAUAUGUAGUUUUUAAGAAUUUUUUCUGACAGUAUUAUGUAAUUUUUUUUUUUAGAGUGGGUAGAUGGGAGUGUCGCUUGUAUGUUACCGUACAGCUGACAUGUAUUUUUGUCUAUUCUUUAUUAUCUUAGUAGUUUCAUGCUGUGUCUGUACCAUAACCAACCUAUUGCCUAUGAGAAACAUGUAAGAUAAUGUAUUUACAGCCAUUGUUACAAGUUUAUAAUGUAUUUUUCUAUCUUGUUUUAUAUGUAUGUUAUAUAACAUUCAAAAAGAAUUUUUUUCUUGAUUGAGAAAAGGAUACAAAAUGCAAAAUCCACACUUUUGAUAACCGAAAAUUGCCAAUUGUUUUGCAGUACUUUAUUAUAUCGGGUGUCUUGUCUUUCUUGGGCUUUUAGUUAGCUAAUGAAUGAAUACAUUAGACACUUUUGGGUUUUUAGUUGGGAUUUUACAUAGCUUGCAUUUUAAUUCUUUGGUUCUUUGCUGUUUCUAUUAACCCAUAGCAUUAUUUUAAUAAAUGUUAUAAUACCAACCUACUAACUCUGGACUAUGUCUGUUUAUUAACCUUUUCAUGUUUAAUUAAAAUAAACAAAUAAAGACAAAAGAAUGUAAAGGCUUGAGUUACUGGACUAACCCUGGAAGAAACGUGACCACAGAUAACAUAGCGUGACUUGUUUUUAAUGUUGUCUGUCAGCUGACAAUUCCGCACACUAGUGUUAAAAUGGCUUUGGUUUUUCUGCCCUUUUACCUUGGGGGUUGGUGCCGGUAGUUAUGGGAACAAGUAGUGUGCGUUUGAGGUGUUCUUUCUGUAGUUUGCCACUUGACUUUCAGCAUCUGCAUUACUAAUUCCACAUUUUCUUAUUUUUUCUUCUCCGAAAUAAUCACUGUCUGCUCACAGCAAAAAGUAUAAGGAGACUCGUUGUAAUGAUAUACACAGAGAAACCAGUUUGAUUCUUUGUUGAACCAUUUCUUUCUAACUUCUGUAAAUUGGUAAUUUUAUGGUCACAUUAUGAGGCAAAGAAUCUGGUUAUAGUUUACCUUUAUUUGGAUUUUUGUUUUAACGUUUUCCUUUUAUAAAGUGUUGAACUUUUGUAGCCAACUGCUCUUACCAGAGAAACUCAAAACAGGUAAAAAAGCCAAAGUCCGAUGGGUUCCCUUCCUCUUGGUAGGCCCAGGGAGCGGUUAAUUAUAGCAAUACAAUCCCACCUCUCUCCUUGUAGACCCUUCACCAGUAGGUUAGACAGCAUGGUUGCGUUUCCUCUCUCACCCACUUCCAAACUACAGCCAAAAUGUAACAUUAACAAGAAAUUAAGUGGGGAAGAAUACUGGCAUUUGAAAAGUAAUGUGUAAUUAAUUUCCUUCAGUUCAGUUUAUGAGGAUUUCUUAAAUACUUUCAUGCUUUUCUUGGCUGCAGCCUGGGUCAAUUGUCCUAUAUUUAUGAAUUCUCUAGUUGAACUCUUGAGAUGCACAUUUAUUUCACAGAUGUUCACACUUUCCCUUUCUGUGAAAUAGUUCCCCUGGAUAAUAAAAAUUCUCGGGAUAAAUCUUUGUGUUUGUAAAUAAUGGCUUAUUUGGGGGAAAUUAGAUUUUAUUUAUUUUAAAGUUCUAAAAGUUGACUGAAAUGAGUCACGUCAUAGAAGACAAACUAUACUAUAUUGCUAUUAAUCAGACUGUCAGGUAUCCCAGUAUUUCAUAUAUGGGUGUGUGUGUAUAAUAAACAUAUACAUGCGCACACAUACGUCUACAAAAUAUAUAGGAUAGUGGUAACAGCUGAUUUAAUCACCAUUGAGACGGUCAUUUGGGUCAUGUAAACAAAUAUUGUCAUUUCUCUGCUGGAGGUGGCAGUUCCUUAUUGUUAGGCAAAGCUUUAAUAUACUGCUAUUUGUAAAGGUUCCCGUUGCCAUCAGAGUUCAUACAUUCUGUGAAAAUUUGAUGAUGUCUGUCAAGUUGCUAAUACAUAAGUUAUUGUGAUACCAUUUAACUUAAAUUUAUGAAGAAUUUCUAUGCAAUUUACUACACAUUCUGUGAAGCCUAAAAAUGCAGUCUCAUCUCAUUUUCAUUUUAAUGGUACUUUAUGUAUAAUUAUGUCAUUGUCAUCUUUUUUGUUGGAAAAGUUGUAAAGGUUCUUUUAAAGGUGAAAAUAACAUUACAAUCCCAUUUUUGUACAGGGUGUGUUAGUUUUAAACAUGAGACUACCAAAUUCUUAGAUUGAUGAAAUUCUAGAAUCAGUUUAUUGUUUUAUACAGUUACUUGACAAAAUAACUGAAAGUUGAGCUUUCAGUUAGGAACGUUUUUUUUGUCCCCGUAGAUAAAAUGUCAGGAAAAAUUGAAGCAUGAAAGUAAGUCUUCACAUUAAGCUUCAGUGUAGUAGCUUCAAGUAUAGCAGAGUUCACUUAUUUAAGUACCCUCUCCAUGAAACCAAAAUGUGUGUAUAUAGGCACAAAAUAUGUAUUUGGUUAAGAUUUUCUAAAUAAAUACUAGAUAAAUAUAAAAGAUCUGAAUUUUAUUUUCUGGUGCGCUGAAAGACAGUAGAUGUAAAUGAAACUGAUCAUUGCCAAAUCAAGAAUGUUUUCUUUAACAGCAAAGUCUCUAACACUUCUGUAUUUGACAGUCUCAGCUUUCUCCAGUUCUGGGAGGUUUGUUUGGCUGGUUGGGAUGGAGUCUCUCUUUAUUCUUUGAUAACAAUUAGUUAUUUUAGGAUUUCCAGCAAGUUGCUUUUGGUAGAAUGGAACAUAUUGUCAAAUUAUAAUCCAUUAUUUAGCAAAAUUACUCCCAGAAAAGUUUUUGGGCUCAAUUUUUUUUCACAUUGUCGUAGAUUCCUUAGUACCUUUAUUUAAAAUGGAAAAGUAGUUUAGCUAAUGGACAAUUUCUGUUAAAAAAAAAAAACAAACAAAACUCUGAAAUACCUUUUAGAAAUAUAUGGAACACCUAUGUGAUAUUAUCUGUGGUUUCUUUAAUAUUAGAUCUACAUGAAGUGCCUUUGUUGUAAAGAGACUUAAAAUUAUUUGUAUGCCUGGUACUCAAUGCUGAAUCAAACUGGUUAACCUAAGCACAGUUCUCUCCUUUCUUUAUUUUUGCUGCACUAAUUGCAGGGAUGUUGGGGGAGGGGAAGGGGGAGAAAGAGGAUGAAAUAACUUCACAGUAGAAGUCCGUGGUGGGUGCAGCAAAAGCUACACACAACCUUGGUUUCACAAUUGCUAAAGAUUUUGCUACCCCUUCUUAGACACCAUAUUGUGGAAAAAAUCUGAGCUCCCAUGGCAAAAAUUAAUUUAUAUCUUUUUUAAAAAUGCUAUUAUUGAGAUUUUUGAUAACCAAAUACAUCUUUUAUGACAUUGUAAUAGUGUAUAUAAAAACAUUAAGAAUUUUAUUUGUGGAAAUUGUAUGUGUGUGUGUAUAUAUAUAUAUAUGUAUAUGAAGAGAGAAGUAAGAAUAGAUAUUGCAAAAUCACAUGUGAAUGAAGAACCACAUAUGACUGUACAUGAAGUGCAAUUAACCAACUGGAAAAAGUGCAUGUGCUUUAUCCUCUCCAGCCAGUUGUAGCUAAAAAUGCUGCUUAUGGUUUUUCUCCCCCCCCAAAAAAAAAAAUGUGUAAAUACUCAGAAUAAAGAAUGAACAUCUUCAUUUUUAA
RNA transcript from Choloepus didactylus (southern two-toed sloth), 9455 nucleotides. It is a transcript of the gene named QKI, KH domain containing RNA binding, with no coding region annotated. The record is from RefSeq and is a predicted model, not a curated record. Lineage: Eukaryota; Metazoa; Chordata; Mammalia; Pilosa; Megalonychidae. The transcript is spliced from 8 exons.